GACGAACGCUGGCGGCGUGCUAAACACAUGCAAGUCGAACGGAAAGGCCCUGCUUGCAGGGUACUCGAGUGGCGAACGGGUGAGUAACACGUGGGUGAUCUGCCCUGCACUUCGGGAUAAGCUUGGGAAACUGGGUCUAAUACCGGAUAGGAGCCAUCUUUAGUGUGGUGGUUGGAAAGUUUUUUCGGUGUAGGAUGAGCUCGCGGCCUAUCAGCUUGUUGGUGGGGUAAUGGCCUACCAAGGCGGCGACGGGUAGCCGGCCUGAGAGGGUGUACGGCCACAUUGGGACUGAGAUACGGCCCAGACUCCUACGGGAGGCAGCAGUGGGGAAUAUUGCACAAUGGGCGCAAGCCUGAUGCAGCGACGCCGCGUGGGGGAUGAAGGCCUUCGGGUUGUAAACUCCUUUCGCUAGGGACGAAGCUUUUUUGUGACGGUACCUAGAUAAGAAGCACCGGCUAACUACGUG
RNAcentral lists this ribosomal RNA (466 nucleotides) under uncultured bacterium. RNAcentral describes it as "partial 16S ribosomal RNA". It matches the Rfam family "Bacterial small subunit ribosomal RNA", at positions 28 to 507 of the family's 1533-position model. The record is from RNAcentral.